GGUGGUGCUGGUUUAAUAAUUAUGAGGGUAGGUUAUAACAGCAAUGGCACUUUUGGGGGUUUUAAAGUGUUGGAGACUGUCGCAAUGAAUUUUUAUCCUCCAGGUGGAAAAUAACUUUAUCGAUUUGGGCGAAUUGUGAAGUAACAUUGAACCUGGAGGGUAAAUUUAGCUUAUCUGGGGUGUCUUUCGGGGUAACGAUCGCCUCCUGUUCUUCAUUCUCAAACGCUCAUCACUCUUAUUAAUAAUUUUAUAAAAAUGCAAAAAUGACCGGUAAUAAUUACCCGAUUGAAAUGUCUGGUAAUAAUUACCGGUCGGGGUUUUUUUUUUUUUUUUAAGUAACCGGCGGCGUUGGCGGGUUAAUGUGACAGUUCUUAGAAUGCAAUAAAUCAGGAGGCAGAUCGGUAAUAAAUGCGGUCAUUAUUACCGCUUUUAUAUUCCACGUAUCGAGGAUAAUUCGAUGUACAGUUUAGUUGCGAUCCGCAAGAACAUUAAGACGAGGUCCGGAGCGCGCGCGGGACCACGUGGUGUGGCAAACGCGCGGAACAAUCAAUGCAGUGACGUCAUAGGGCCAUCAACCAAUCCCAAGUUGGCUCCAUUCAACCUACCAACCUCGGCCUCCUCUCCUUCGCCAGUGGAAACUCAUCGAGUUCCGUCAGACGUUGUCCGACUGCAGUUCGGUCUCGACCACUGUAACACUCGGUCAAAAGUUUGAAUUAUCGGAUUUAUUUUCGAUUUUUGAAAAUUGUCAUUUUUGUCAAUGGACAAUUAUUGUUGGAGAUGCCGAAGUCAAGUGACGGUAAUUCAUUGAGUCUGUCAUGAAUUGGAGAAUAAUAUUUAUUUUACAGAAUUAUUUUUUCGUUUUAACAUUAUUUUCGGUGGUUUUUAUUGAGUUGCGUUCAUUAAUUAAUUUUCAUGAUUAAUGCGUCGUUAAGUUCGGAGCCGUAAAGACGGGUUUUUAACAUUAUUUUUACGCUGAUGUGCGGUAAAGUUAUCAACCUGACGACGUGUGAAUUAGUAGACGAUCAGUCGAUAAAUGCAGUAUAUUAUGCUGAGGCCGGUAAAAAUGCGGAAUAUCAUUGGCUGCCCUGGGGUAACCCCUUCAACACCACGGGGUAAACUGGCGCAGGAUGUGCCCUGGAAGGGCGAAAAUUCCGUGGAUCCCCGGAUAAUAGGAGAUAAAGGUCAUGAAUUUUCUCAUAACAGACAAAGAGAGGGAGAAGAACGAAUCCGAUGCUAGGCGCUAAGCCGAAUCCCUCAAAGUGCGGUGGAGCUUACACGGCUAGCGUUACCCCAGGUACGACCCAAGGGGAGCGAUGGGUGUUUUCUCUUCCUUGGUGAGAUAUGGGCGGUCGCAUUCCAUCCCUUAUUAGGUUCGAUCGGUUCGUGUGAUGUCUGUGUCUGUCUUGCACCCACGAGACUGAAAAAUCAUUGACGUUUGACGACCUCGGAUCAUAGUUUCGAUAAAUCUUUGGGGAUUGGGGCUAAGUUUGUUGGAGAAAAUGAAAUUACUCAUCAACUGGAGAAGAGUUGAAGAGCAUUUUCUGAUAGGGAGGGAACAAUGAGGGAAGAAUUACGAUGUUAUAGUAGUUAAUUUAUUGCAUUUUUGUUUGGUCGAGAUUUUUUUGUAGAAAUAUCGAAAAAUAAUUGAGUUUGAAAA
Long non-coding RNA from Diachasmimorpha longicaudata, 1657 nucleotides. RefSeq lists it as uncharacterized. Lineage: Eukaryota; Metazoa; Arthropoda; Insecta; Hymenoptera; Braconidae. The record is from RefSeq and is a predicted model, not a curated record. The transcript is spliced from 3 exons.